Molecule: ribosomal RNA, 253 nt
Filed under: uncultured bacterium
Lineage: Bacteria
Description: partial 16S ribosomal RNA
Rfam family: Bacterial small subunit ribosomal RNA
Source: RNAcentral
UACGUAGGGGGCAAGCGUUGUCCGGAUUUAUUGGGCGUAAAGAGCGUGUAGGCGGCCAGGUAGGUCAGCUGUGAAAACUCAAGGCUCAACCUCGAGAUGUCGGCUGAAACCAUCUGGCUAGAGUCCGGAAGAGGAGAAUGGAAUUCCCGGUGUAGCGGUGAAAUGCGCAGAUAUCGGGAAGAACACCCGUGGCGAAGGCGGUUCUCUGGGCCGAUACUGACGCUGAGGAGCGAAAGCGUGGGGAGCGAACAGG